CCGUGCUAGAUGGGGAGUUAGCGGUGCCCUGUACCUGCAAUCCGCUAUAGCAGGGUUGAAUUCCUCAUAGAGGCUUUAAUUUGUGGGGACUGGUCUAUAUAACUAAUGUUGAGAAUUGGGCCCUACGCAACGGAAACUCAUGAACCCCGUCAGAUCCGGAAGGAAGCAGCGGUAAGUGAAUAUUUUCGUGUGCCGUAGGCAAACCUAAUUUGAGUUAGUUAUAUAGAUAACGCUCAUAGGUUAUAAGUCGAAGUGAGGUGCACGG
Molecule: signal recognition particle RNA, 265 nt
Filed under: Clostridium acetireducens DSM 10703
Lineage: Bacteria; Bacillati; Bacillota; Clostridia; Eubacteriales; Clostridiaceae
Description: Bacterial large signal recognition particle RNA
Rfam family: Bacterial large signal recognition particle RNA
About the family: The signal recognition particle (SRP) is a universally conserved ribonucleoprotein involved in the co-translational targeting of proteins to membranes. Archaeal SRP consists of a 7S RNA and homologues of the eukaryotic SRP19 and SRP54 proteins.
Source: Rfam by way of RNAcentral